CUUUCGGGGGAUAUGCUCAAGGUAUUAUAUUAGUAUUAGGGCAGAAAUUUAGUUAUUAUAUUUAUUAUACAAAGUGGAGGAUUAAUUUAGUAGGAGGGUGUUAAGAUUUUUUAGAAAAAUUACAUCAAUCGAGGGGUAGCUGUUGAGGCGUUCAUGGUUAAAAUAUGAUUUCUGGGCUCUGACUGGGCUGCAUUUUAGUCUUUUGUUUUUGGGGUUUGGCAAGGAUACAUUUAGCUAGGUUGAUAGUAAAGUCAGAGAUGCGGGGAGGGGGUAUUGCAGAUUUAAUCGGAAAUAGUUCUUGAAAUUCAGAGUGCAUGCGACGGGCGUGAGCGUCGGUACGGGCGUGAGCGUCGGUACGGGCGUGAGCGUCGGUACGGGCGUGAGCGUCGGUACGGGCGUGAGCGUCGGUACGGGCGUGAGCGUCGGUACGGGCGUGAGCGUCGGUACAGGCUUGCGUGUCUAUUAAUUGUUAUGUCCUUCAAGCAUGAAUUAAGUAACACCUUCUGGUUAUAAUGCCAGCCUGGAAUAUGAAUAUAAGGUUAGCUUCUACAAUUGAUUUGGCAGGAAUCAAAUCCGAGUUCCUCUACUGCGGAUUCGGCAGGGACCAGAAAAGGGAGUAACAGAAGAAAAAACUCACCUUUCUUCAAGAAAUAUUCCAACUGCUCUGCAUCUGUGAACAUGCUCUGCCUUCACUCCUGUCACUGAAGAUCCUUCACUGCACAGCUCUUUACCUCUACUCAACGGAAACAGAGCAUAAAGCCUUGGAAAAUUUACUGCCAGAUCAUGUGAUG
Molecule: long non-coding RNA, 791 nt
Filed under: Homo sapiens (human)
Lineage: Eukaryota; Metazoa; Chordata; Mammalia; Primates; Hominidae
Description: HSALNT0076566
Source: RNAcentral